ACCCAAUUCACUCCCUUUUUAAUUCUUUCUCCUGGUGUGUCUGCUCCACCGCCGGAGCUAAUCCCCCAAAUCCGGUCUCCUAAGCCGCAGCUGCUUCCCUUCGCAGUGAUGAAUGGCUCGGGGAGGGAAGGGCAGGCCCAGGGGCAGAGGAAGGGCAGAGAAGUGAGCUGGAGGCAUCUGCGGAUGGCUGAGGCCAAGGAGACCUCAGUGAGUGUUUGGAGAAAGGGAUACUUUCACAGAUUGAGAGCUGGUCUUCUGAAGCCCCCUCCCAUGCCGCAGAUACCAGAGGGGCCCCUGCUGCCUGUGAUGAGGGUUGUGUCAGCCAGAGGUGGGACACAACAUGCCCAGCUGGGGUAAAUCCAGCCUCAGCCCCUACCUCAGACUGACUUUUGUGCCAGGGAAGAAAGCAUACCCUUACCCUUACAUUCUUACCUCCCAAGCCCUUUGCCCAGCAUAGGUGCUCAAUAAAAUAGCCUGUUGGCUAAAAGAAC
This is a long non-coding RNA of Lagenorhynchus albirostris (white-beaked dolphin), 491 nucleotides long. RefSeq lists it as uncharacterized. The record is from RefSeq and is a predicted model, not a curated record. The transcript has 2 exons. NCBI's taxonomy places the organism in Eukaryota, Metazoa, Chordata, Mammalia, Artiodactyla, Delphinidae.